Molecule: ribosomal RNA, 200 nt
Filed under: Klebsiella oxytoca
Lineage: Bacteria; Pseudomonadati; Pseudomonadota; Gammaproteobacteria; Enterobacterales; Enterobacteriaceae
Also listed under: 1 other name
Description: partial 23S ribosomal RNA
Rfam family: Bacterial large subunit ribosomal RNA
Source: RNAcentral
AGCUUGACACUGAACACUGGUCCUUGAUGUGUAGGAUAGGUGGGAGGCUUUGAAGUGUGGACGCCAGUCUGCAUGGAGCCAUCCUUGAAAUACCACCCUUUAAUGGCUGGUGUUCUAACGUGGGCCCGUUAUCCGGGUUGCGGACAGUGUCUGGUGGGUAGUUUGACUGGGGCGGUCUCCUCCUAAAGAGUAACGGAGGA